UGGUAAAAACCUUAAAAAAUAAAUUUUAAAAAAAUCUACUGACCAGCUUUUCCCCAGAACGAUGCCUGUCCCUGAGAGCAAAGAGUGUCACAAGAGACGCCGUCAACCUAGGCCACCUUCUGCCGACCUCGCAGAAUCUGGGGGCUCGGCCGGAAGGACCCCGAAGGCCGAGGAACCCGCAGGCAGUAAGCACGUGGCUCCAGCAGGCCCGUAACCUCAGAGCACACCUGCGAGGCCACGUGGGAGGCCUGGCCCUGGGUGGGGACGGCAGUGGGAGGAGCUUGGGGCCCACACCCUGCAAGCCGGAUCACAAGACCCUCUCGCAGACAGGGCUGUGCGUUUUGCAGGGACCAGCUUCAAGCAGGUGGGGAAACCGAGGCUCAGGGAAGCUGGGUGCCUUGUCCGAGCUCAGGCUCAAACCCAGGACCAUCCCAGACGAGGCUGUGGCUGGCCUGUCACCUUCGGAAGUGAUGACAGCGAUGGGAGGAGUGGCUGCGACGUGCCUGUCACCCUCCCUGUCACCUGGCAGACCAGAGUCCUGGCCCGGAGCCAGGCAGGGCACCUGUCCUUUAUCUGCAGAUCAGUAUUUGUCACCCUGCCUGGAAAAGGGGGUGGCUUGGCAGCACCAGCGAGCUGCCAGUCUCCGACGACUGUGAGCUCACUGUGAGCUUUCUCUUACAGAUCGUUUUGUCACCUGCCUUCAGACAAAAGCGGGGAUCUCAGCUCGAGGCGGCGAGAUUAGUGUCAGGAAUUUGCUCACGAGGUGACAGGCACCAGAAAAUCAGGAGGCGCAGAAAAUCAGGAGGCGGCUCUGGCAGGCUCUGCCGAUCCAGCAGAAACGUCACGAUGGUCCUCUGUGACAAACGGAGUCAACGAGCUACGGCAGUGGGGGCAGGAUCUGGGACUCCGACGGGCCUCCAGCCCCAACGACCGUGCCCGUGUCUUGACGGAGUCUGGGCUCACGGCUAACCACGGCCAUCCACGGCCGUCAGACCUGCGGCCGGACCUGGGUAUUCAUGCGUUCUGGGCGCCGCGAUGUCUACCAGCUCGCGUGCUUGUUCUCAACGCUCCGGAGGGAGCUGUGACAUCCCGUUGGCCAGGAUGACAGGAUGCCAGGCAAGGCCAAGACGGGGCAUGCCCCACCCCCCAGGAAUCUUCCCAGAGGUCCCCACUCACUCCCAGAAUGAAAACCCUGACCCUGUCCCAGCUGUUCCUGCUGCUCCUAACUCCAAGUGGCGUCUGAAGCUGACAGGGACAUGCUCAGGUGAGCGGCUGCCUUGGUCACCUGCAGCGAGACCAGAUGACCAGGGUAACCCAGACGGAAAAGGCAGGGCAUGGACCAACUCAGACAAACCGUUUCCAGCUGUCCGUGAAUUUAGAGGCGAAGGACAAAAAAAAAGGAGGAAAGAUGGGGACCAGCAGGUGGUGUGGUGGUUAAGGUGCUGGACACUCCCACA
Long non-coding RNA from Tupaia belangeri chinensis (Chinese tree shrew), 1457 nucleotides. RefSeq lists it as uncharacterized. Lineage: Eukaryota; Metazoa; Chordata; Mammalia; Scandentia; Tupaiidae. The record is from RefSeq and is a predicted model, not a curated record. The transcript is spliced from 3 exons.